AUUGAACGCUGGCGGCAGGCCUAACACAUGCAAGUCGAACGGUAACAGGAAGCAGCUUGCUGCUUCGCUGACGAGUGGCGGACGGGUGAGUAAUGUCUGGGAAGCUACCUGAUGGAGGGGGAUAACUACUGGAAACGGUAGCUAAUACCGCAUAAUGUCGCAAGACCAAAGAGGGGGACCUUCGGGCCUCUUGCCAUCGGAUGUGCCCAGAUGGGAUUAGCUUGUUGGUGGGGUAACGGCUCACCAAGGCGACGAUCCCUAGCUGGUCUGAGAGGAUGACCAGCCACACUGGAACUGAGACACGGUCCAGACUCCUACGGGAGGCAGCAGUGGGGAAUAUUGCACAAUGGGCGCAAGCCUGAUGCAGCCAUGCCGCGUGUAUGAAGAAGGCCUUCGGGUUGUAAAGCACUUUCAGCGGGGAGGAAGGGAGUAAAGUUAAUACCUUUGCUCAUUGACGUUACCCGCAGAAGAAGCACCGGCUAACUCCGUG
Molecule: ribosomal RNA, 490 nt
Filed under: uncultured bacterium
Lineage: Bacteria
Description: partial 16S ribosomal RNA
Rfam family: Bacterial small subunit ribosomal RNA
Source: RNAcentral